This is a long non-coding RNA of Cucumis melo (muskmelon), 637 nucleotides long. RefSeq lists it as uncharacterized. The record is from RefSeq and is a predicted model, not a curated record. Lineage: Eukaryota; Viridiplantae; Streptophyta; Magnoliopsida; Cucurbitales; Cucurbitaceae. The transcript has 2 exons.
UGAUAAUGAAUGAACUACCGGCGGAAUGUGUUGGUCGGAUUUUGGCCUUUACGUCGUUGAAAGAUGUUUGUAGAUUGGCUGGAGUUUCGUCGAUGUUCAGAUCAGCGGCUGAUUCAGAUUUUGUGUGGAAGAAUUUUGUGCCGGUGAAUUACAAAGAGAUUAUUAUUACAUCAUCUGCUUCCUCCUUCUGUUCGUUUCUAAAUUUGCUGUUGAAGAAGCCUCUCUAUAUAGGCACAGGAAACACCUCGGUUUAGGGAAUUGGCAAAGGUAGAGUAUGAUUGUGGAUUAGCAAUUGAAGGAAGAAUAGAGGUGAAGAACUUGAAUCCAGAAGCGCAUUAUUCAGUUUAUAUGGUAUUCGGGAGUAGUAGUGAGGAAUCAUUGAAAUACAAGAGAUUUGUUGUGUUGGAAAUGGAAGAAGGGAAGAUGAUGCGUGUGGGUGAAUCUCUUAAACAAAGAAGGAGAGAAGAUGGUUGGUUUGAGAUUUUAAUGGGUGGGUUCUGCAUACGAAGAGAUAAUGCUUUUAUUCAUUUCUUUGUUGGAGAAGAUAAAUACCCUUUAACUGCUGGUUGCUUUACCAUCCGAUCAAUUCACCUUAGAUUAACUUAAUUAUUAUAAUUAUUUCAUUUACAUUUUAUAA